CCUACGGGAGGCAGCAGUGAGGAAUAUUGGUCAAUGGGCGAGAGCCUGAACCAGCCAAGUAGCGUGAAGGAUGACUGCCCUACGGGUUGUAAACUUCUUUUAUCAAGGAAUAAAGUGAGGCACGUGUGCCUUUUUGUGUGUACUUUAUGAAUAAGGAUCGGCUAACUCCGUGCCAGCAGCCGCGGUAAUACGGAGGAUUCGAGCGUUAUCCGGAUUUAUUGGGUUUAAAGGGAGCGUAGAUGGGUUGUUAAGUCAGUGGUGAAAGUUUGGGGCUCAACCGUAAAAGUGCAAUGGAAACUGGCAGUCUUGAGAAAAGGUGAGGUAGGCGGAAUUCGUGGUGUAGCGGUGAAAUGCUUAGAGAUCACGAAGAACUCCGAUUGCGAAGGCAGCUUACGAAACGGCCACUGACAUUGAUGCUCGAAAGUGUGGGUAUCAAACAGGAUUAGAUACCCGUGUAGUC
Molecule: ribosomal RNA, 460 nt
Filed under: uncultured bacterium
Lineage: Bacteria
Description: partial 16S ribosomal RNA
Rfam family: Bacterial small subunit ribosomal RNA
Source: RNAcentral